CAAAAUAAUUGAUUAAUAAUAUUAUAUGCUUCACAAUUUUGACAACUUACAACUGAUAUCAAGUAGAAUGAUGCUGCUUUUGUUAGCCAAUUUUUCUACAAAUUAUAAUAUAAGGUAAAAAAAUUGAUGCUCAACUUAUCUGAUCCUCAAACAUUGAGUCAAGUAAUUCAUUUUGUUGUGAGGUGUGACAAAUGACGUUU
This 200-nucleotide long non-coding RNA is filed under the name Physcomitrium patens. RNAcentral describes it as "long non-coding RNA (PPAT_LNC004194)". Lineage: Eukaryota; Viridiplantae; Streptophyta; Bryopsida; Funariales; Funariaceae. The record is from RNAcentral.